CAGCAGGAAAACCAGUUGGCAACUUGGUCUUAUUUACAGUGUCCUUUACUUUCUCCCCCUCCCCUUUUUCUUCCCUCCCUUUUCCCCCAGCCCACUCAAGGCUUGCGCAGCCUGCUUGGGCUGUGUGCCACGGCCUCCGUCUGCCUAUGUGUCUUCUCCUCCGACCAACUUUGAACUCUACUGGCCAGUUUCAGCCUUCAGUUUCCUUUACUUUCUCCCCCUCCCCUUUUUCUUCCCUCCCUUUUCCCCCAGCCCACUCAAGGCUUGCGCAGCCUGCUUGGGCUGUGUGCCACGGCCUCCGUCUGCCUAUGUGUCUUCUCCUCCGACCAACUUUGAACUCUACUGGCCAGUUUCAGUCAGGUUUGCCAGAUGCGUGGAAGUUGCCCAAGCGACUGAAUUUCCCCAAGUUUCCUGAAAAUAUCUGGCUGGGUAGAAGAGAGAACUUCUCAGCUGCAAGAAUGAAUGGAAUAUUGCUCUUUUAUCCAGGUGUCUGCUACUUUCAUCUGGUCACCUCCCACAUGCCAUGAAAAUGUUAUCUAAUAACAAUAUAAUAUGCAUAGGUAGAUACUCAUUCUUUUGUAAUUUGCCACUACUGAGAACAUCUUGCUAUUUCUCACUAUAGGAAAAGUCGAAGAAGCAUCAGAAAGACUGAUCUCAUACGAUCAUUCUUAUCUGUAGAGAAAACAGCCUGACUCUUGAAAGAAUAUCACUUUACAUCCAGCAAAGCUUUUUUUGACUCUACGGACUGAAUGAAUUUAUUCUAGCCAAAGGGAGCCUCAAAACAGUGAAAGUUACUUGAAGACUGCUGUGACUUUCUGGCAUGGUAUUUGCAAACUUGAGAUACUGUUUCCCCCUGUAUCAUACUGCCACCACUGUGAUCAGCAGAACUGAAAUUUGGUCUCUAUGAAAGGAAAGGGCUGCUGGGAAAGAUUUUUUUGUGAAAGGACACUUUUCUGAAGUAUUUUUUCUAAAGUCUCAAGACAGUACCAAGUUGCUUACUGUUUCGAUGUGCUUCAAUUCCAUCUAUUUCAGAAAGCAUUGGUGGAUGAGGAAAGGGAUUUCCUAAUGUUUUAGGACAAUGUUUCCCUCUUGCCCAGAAUUUUGUUCUUUCGGGGUGUAAGUGCUAAGCAAUUUCUGAAAGCCAGGUCCUCCUGUUGGUUCUUUUUUCAGGCAUAACGAAAACUGAAGUACACAAACGCUGUAGAAAAAUAUGUGUCGUAGCAGAUAAAGAACAAUUCCCGGAAUUUCCACAAUCUUUGUAUCUGAUCUUGGACUGGUCAGUUAACUUCUCUGUGCUGCAGUUUUUAAUUCUGUGAAAAAUAAGUUACCUUCCUUCAUUCUGAGUCUAAGGCCAGGGGCACAUAUCCUCCUUUACCUCCACACCUGCCAGGUGAAGAAGUUACCACGCUUAACUGCCUCUUUUCUGGACUACCAGAACAGAUUAGCUGGCUGAAAGUUGUCUGCUGAGUUUCUUGUGUGAUUGCUCUCUCUCAGUCACUGCAAUCAAUGGCCUUUCAGUCAACAUUGACAGGUAAUGUUCUUUAAUAAAGAUCUACAGUUUGUUUAAGCUAAUUCA
Long non-coding RNA from Struthio camelus australis, 1576 nucleotides. Lineage: Eukaryota; Metazoa; Chordata; Aves; Struthioniformes; Struthionidae. The record is from Ensembl.